Molecule: RNA transcript, 2316 nt
Organism: Cannabis sativa
Lineage: Eukaryota; Viridiplantae; Streptophyta; Magnoliopsida; Rosales; Cannabaceae
Gene name: regulator of nonsense transcripts 1 homolog
Exons: 3
Source: RefSeq, a predicted model, not a curated record
CUCUGCUAAUGAUGGCUUCACUCAGAUUGUGCUUUCUUGGACUCUUGAAGACAUUUCUAAUGAAAAUCUUUAUAAGGUUCACUCUGUUUAUCCAUCUUCAUAUUUUUGUUAGGGUUUUUUGGGUUUUGUUUUUGUUUUCUUUUUUAAUAUGCAUGUUGGUCUUUUUUCCCUGCUUGUGAAUUAGUUUUCAACUUUUUGGAUACUUGAAGCUUUGUUGUUUGACCUUUUGGUAACUUUUAAUUGUGUAAUAUAGAGCUUGAAUGAAAUAGGGGAAAAUACAUUUUAGUGAGGGGAAAAUACAUUUAUUUUCCUCAUUUUUUGUGUGGAAAUCUGAGACUUUUGGCUCUCUUUGUUGUAUUUCUCAAUCUAAUUUAGUUUUCACAUUCCAUUCAUGACUAGAGCGUAUUUAUGUAUGUUUUUGUUAUAUAAUAAAGAGAUUUUGGAGUAGUAUAAUGUGUGCGUGCAUAUAUAUAAAUAUAUAUACAGGUUAAGGGAAAUUGUAUUACCUGUCCUGAGGAGAAUUGUUGCAGAUCUGAUGAGAAGUUAGUGAAGAGUCUAUCUUCCAAUAUGAAUGAGUCUCAGACUAGUGCAGUUGUUGCCUGUCUUCACAUGAUGCUACUCUUCUUGUUUCCCUCUUAAAGAUGAACUACAGAACUCUUGUUUGUGCACCAACAAAUGUUGCAAUAACUGAAGUGGCUUCUCAAGUCCUGAAGAUAGUUACAGAGUCUAAAUCCAUGUUCUGCUCAUUAGGAGAUAUUCUUCUGUUUGGCAAUACGGAGGAACUCAAAGUUGGCUCAGAUGUUAAAGAUGUAUUUUUGGAAUAUCGAGUUCAAAGGCUUGCGGAGUGUUUAGGUCCGGAUGGUUGGAACCAUUGCUUUCCUUCCAUGAUAAGCUUACUUGAACGUUGGGUUUCUCAGUACCGUGUUUUCCUGGAAUCUGAAUUGAUAAGAGAACAACAAGAACAGAGCUGUGGAACUAAUAUUAAAGAAGAAAUCAUAGAAAAGUUCAAACCAUUUCUUGAUUACAUGAGACAAAGGUUUGCUUCCACUGUCAAGCAGUUGAGAAAAUGCAUUUGGAUCUUUUGUACGCAUUUACCUCAAAGUUUCAUUUUGGAUCAAAAUUUUCUAAACAUGACAACCCUUACUGUGUUACUUGAUAGUUUUGAAGCACUUCUGUUACAAGCAAGAUUUCUGAGGAAGCUAGUUUUGGAAGAAGUUUGUUUCAGAGGUUGAGCGCACUGAACCAUUUGGUUUUUUACACAUCAUGGCAUGAGACCAAAGCUAAACUUAGUAUUGGUGUGGUGUCUCCCUAUUCUGCUCAAGUUGUUGCAAUUCAAAGAGAAGGUUGGAAAGAAGUAUGACUAUAUUAAUGGCUUUCGAGUGAAAUUGAAAACAAUUGACGGGUUCCAGGGUGGGGACGAAGACAUUAUACUAAUGUCAACCGUAAGAUCUGAUAUAGGCCAGACAUUGGAUUUCAUAUCCAAACCUCAGAGAACGAAUGUUGCUCUCACUAGAGCUAGGCAUUGCUUGUGGAUACUUGGUAAUGAAAGAACCCUUGCUAAUAGUCAAUCUAUUUGGGAAGUUCUAGUCAUUGAUGCAAAAAAGCGUCUCUGUUUCUAUAAUGCUGAUGAAGAUGUGAGUUUGGUGAAGGCUAUGUUAGAGAUAAAGAAAGAGCUUGAUCAAUUCGAUGAUCUUCUUACUGCUGAUAGCAUGCUUUUUAGUAAUUCGAAGUGGAAGGUAAUUUUUAGUGCUCAGUGCUACGAGUAUAGGAUAACUUAGAUGCCCUGUUCUGUCUUUAGCUGCAUUAUGUCCAUUCCCUGUUGUCCCUUGAAUUUCAGUUGUAUUGUUACAACAGUUAUGGUUGUUACAGUAGUUAUGUUAGUUAUAGUCAGUGGGCAGUUUGGUCAAUUCAGUAAGUGUCUGUACCUAUAUAUAAUUUGUACUCUUUCCUUUAUUUCAAUGUAUGAGAAACUAUUUUAGAUAAUUCAUUUCUUUUAACAUGGUAUCAGAGCACAUGUGUUUCUCUACCCCUUCUUGAACUUCGUUGAUACUUGAUUCUCUUCUUCCAUAUCGUUGAUCGUUCAUGGAAUCCUCUCCGACUCUCUCUUCAGCAACCAGCCAGAACAGAGGUACUAGUUCUGGUGGUGCACCGUUCACACCCGUUGUCUUCUCACACAAAUUGGCUACCAAACUUGAUCAUGAUAAUUACCUGUUAUGGAGGCCUCAAGUUCUUUCCGCCAUUAGAGGCCACAAACUCCAGCAAUACAUCUCUGAGAAAUUUACUCCUCCACCUCAAUUCCUUUCUGAACAAGAUCGA